CGUCACCGUCCUCGCCGCCGGCCACCCGAACCGCCGACGCCGCUCCGGCCGCCGUUCCUCACCACCGAAGCAACACCAAGCUCCGUUGCAGUUCGCGCCUUGAGUCGACCCGGCGACGUUGACGCCGGAGUUUUGCCGUCGUUGGCCAACAACCACCACCUCCGCCGCUCCCUGGACCUCGCUGCCUCCGUUUCUCUGCUUGAGGAAGAGUACGUCGAAGAAGAAGAGGGUGAGUUUGUUGACGACCAGGUUCAGGAGUUUGCAGAUGAAGGCAAGUUUGCCCCUCCUUUGAUCACAUUGAUUCUAAGUUUUAUUGGGCUAAAUGAUUCUAUUACAAAC
This is a long non-coding RNA of Oryza sativa Japonica Group (Japanese rice), 339 nucleotides long. RefSeq lists it as uncharacterized. The record is from RefSeq and is a predicted model, not a curated record. Lineage: Eukaryota; Viridiplantae; Streptophyta; Magnoliopsida; Poales; Poaceae.